RNAcentral lists this ribosomal RNA (744 nucleotides) under Triticum aestivum (bread wheat). Its description in RNAcentral is "partial small subunit ribosomal RNA". The record is from RNAcentral. Lineage: Eukaryota; Viridiplantae; Streptophyta; Magnoliopsida; Poales; Poaceae.
AUGCCUGCGGGCUCUUCCCAGGCUCGAGCGCCUGGCCUCCCUGGGCACGAGAGUGAGCUUCGAGGCCGCCUCGUGCCCCUGCCUCAGGCAAUGCAACCUCGCCCUGUGAAGGGGCGUCACGGAGGCAACGGCUCGCCGCUACUUUGUGCCACGCACGAAGCUGGAGCUUGCCUCGUUUGUGGGUGCAUCCCGGACGUAACGGGCAUGAUCGUUCGGUUCACUGGACCUGACAGAUGGAUCGUGCCGUCCGUUUCCUCGCCGGCGCUGUCCCUGCUACCUAACCUCCGGCGGCUGCUGGUCGCCGACGUGCCUCGGUGCUGGGACGUCUCGUGGCCGCGCCUCCUCCUUGAGACGGUGCCUUCCCUCGAGACCCUCCAUGUCCACGUUGCCCCGCCGCCUUGCAAAGAGGAAGAGGAGCCCAGCGGCGAUGAGAUAUCGUGGCGGCCCGCCAUGCGUGGGCACCGGCACCUCAAGGAGUUUGUGAUGACUGGUUUUGAAGGGACGGAGAGGCAGGUUUACCUCGUCAGGCUUGUCAUGGGAGUGUGCAGCACGGCGUUGCGCCAUGUCGCCAUGCUCAAGAAGGGGCUUGUUCGGGACAAGGACCACUGGGACUGGGAGAUGGCGACGCAGCAGCAGCACUCACAGUCACAGUGGACCGACGAGGAGAAGGACAAGACGCUUAAACAGAUCAUGAAUGGGGUUCCUUCUUACUCAACCGCUUCUCCGGUUAUAGUUUUUGGAUGA